RNAcentral lists this ribosomal RNA (436 nucleotides) under Clostridioides difficile. RNAcentral describes it as "bacterial SSU rRNA". It matches the Rfam family "Bacterial small subunit ribosomal RNA", at positions 1 to 449 of the family's 1533-position model. The record is from RNAcentral. Lineage: Bacteria; Bacillati; Bacillota; Clostridia; Peptostreptococcales; Peptostreptococcaceae.
UUUUAUUUGAGAGUUUGAUCCUGGCUCAGGAUGAACGCUGGCGGCGUGCCUAACACAUGCAAGUUGAGCGAUUUACUUCGGUAAAGAGCGGCGGACGGGUGAGUAACGCGUGGGUAACCUACCCUGUACACACGGAUAACAUACCGAAAGGUAUGCUAAUACGGGAUAAUAUAUUUGAGAGGCAUCUCUGAAUAUCAAGGUGAGCCAGUACAGGGAUGGACCCGCGUCUGAUUAGCUAGUUGGUAAGGUAACGGCUUACCAAGGCGACGAUCAGUAGCCGACCUGAGAGGGGUGACGGCCACAUUGGAACUGAGACACGGUCCAAACUCCUACGGGAGGCAGCAGUGGGGAAUAUGCACAAGGGCGAAGCCUGAUGCAGCAACGCCGCGUGAGUGAUGAAGGCCUCGGGUCGUAAAACUCUGUCCUCAAGGAAGAU